ACAAAAUUAACUAACUGCAUUUCAAUCACAAAAUGGAUAAAAACAAUGUAACUGUAAGUCACAUUUACAUUAAUGGGACGGAAACAACAACUAGAAUCGCUUGCAACCAUAUCAUAUGGCCAAGUCACGGUAAGAACAAAGAGUAGUUGAUAUCUAGUCCAAAAUCAUAAUGUUUUGAGCUGAACCAAAAGACUUGUUCCCUAUGCCAAUCUCCGCAAGCGAGUGAACACCAAAUUAUCUGCAAAAGUGAAAGUACAUGUUGAGUUACAUGAACCGAAGGAAGAUGCCAAUUGUGUAUGAAUAUAGAUGAUAAAUGACAAUAAGAUUGACAUGCUAUCAUUUUUAGGAGCGAAUCUAGAUCUUCGGCAAAACUCAAUUUUUUUUAAUAAUGUUCACUUGCUCUAUAUUAACAUUCUACACGACACGAAACUAACAAAGCUAAAUACAUCCAAUUUGGCCAUAAUACUUGCAAAUUUUGAUUCCAAUUAUAGCAUAAUAUUUCUUUUGCCUACAGAUAAUCAUCUCAAGUACGUAAAACUGAAUGUACGGGCAUGUGGGAUGUUUGACUAACAAAGCAUACAACAAUUCUCUAAAUAUCAGCUAAGAUUUUGCUUUAUUACACAUUAAAGAAUAGCAUAUGUUACGUGCUUGAAGAUAAGUGGGCCACAGAAUCGGUGGCAAAUAAGGACACCACUUAAUAAAGACACAUACAAGUUUAAGCAUUAAUUAAACAUGUUGGUUCAAAACUGCAUAAUCAAGAUAUAUUAAUGCAAAUGAUGGAUAGAAAGCUCACCUGAAUGACAGGCAUUGUUCUUCCUGUCCAUCAGCACUGCGUAUUCAAAUAUUAUAGAAAUCCAUGAGACUACAAGAAUGCAAAUGAGCGUAAAGUUGAAGAGCGUCCCAAUACAUGAAACUACCCAUGGAGCCAAUAUAACCUUCUGCACCAAGAAGACAAUGAAACAAAAGUAGAAUAUACAUAAGAUAGAGAGAAGCGUGUUCAUGUGCGUGUGUGAAACCAGAACAUGCACAAAGAAGUUAUAGGUGGGCGAGAGAGAUAUCUAUAUGAAAUCUAUCCUAUCUCUCUUGAUGGAAGUUUCAUGAGAAACAACCAGCACCUUGUUUAUUCAUUCAAGAGCCUCAUCUGCAGCUUUCUCAGCAAUCACAUCUGUGACCUCUAGAUUAGGAGGUGGUGGAAGAUGGUUGCAAACAACAUUACUUGUUAUUGCAACUUUGCAUAAUGAAGUACAGAACAAUGGGACGCACUAAUUCAGUGAGGUGGACUGAGUAAAAUAAUAUAAGUUAUCCCCAUUAAGUUAAAAGAAACUCACACGGUGACCAAGUGCAACAAGCUCCUGGAGCUCUUUAUGGAUACAGUCCAUACUGAAAGAAAAUAUGGAGCACUUAAUACAAUUAACUACAGAAGCACAGUUGAAUCAUUUUACAAGAGCCCACAAAGCAUAUUUACAGGCUAUGAAGAAAAAUGACUUGCUAGCAAAAGAAAUAUCAAACUGCUACGAAAAUUUAACUGUAACUAUAGAAACAACUUUAGUAUUUACUUUGUGGAGAAGGGAACAUGUAGGUCCAUGAUAGCUAAUGUAGUAGACAAAUGUAAAUGAGCAAACCCUCUACAUAGUGAAGGGGUAAAUUAAACCUUGAAUGCUCUCUAACAUCUCAUAGAUACUAUGUUCAAACUACAGCCAAAUUCCAGACUCCAUAGUGCUCAGACCCAAGUUUUGCAAAACCUCUGACGUUUACGGAAUUCUACAAUGUGGCAAAUGUACUGAAGGACUUAGUUUGAACAAUCCACCAAACAAUUCAGCAGUACGAUACCCUAGUCGAAGUGAUACAACAUUUGUAUGAACACAUUAGCCAAUUACUAUCUUGAAAUCACAUAGAAAAUAAUUAUAAUCUGCAAUCAUCCAAAGUAAAAAGUAGUCAAGAAACCUAUUUAGAACAGGUAAAGCCAUCACAUGAAUCACCUGCAGAGAAGGCAAGUCACUGCUGCGAUCUGGAGAGGAAGGUGGUCCGUGCUUGGGGGUCAGUUUGCUGCUCCACGGAGGUGCCACCGUCAGAGUCGUUGCCGGUCGUGGGAGCCCGUAGUCAGGUCGCCGGCCAGGCACCUCUUGCUCGGGAUGUCGGAGACGCAGACUGGCCGGCGGAGAUGAGGCCGUGGAUGUGGCGUCGCUGUCACCAGAUCCGGUGCCGUUGGCAGCGGACAUGGGCUCCAAGAAUGCCAUAGGGGGUAGCUAGGGCGUUGGACGAUUGGGAGCUCGAGCACUUGGGAUGGGCGGACGGCGCUGCCGCGGCGUGCAGGGCGGGUUAGCAGCGAAUCGACGCGGUGGGCAGCUGGGGCAGGGAGCUAGCGGUGGCGGCCGGGCAAACAACGGCAGCUACUCAUUGUCGUGGGGGUGGCGGCUGGGAUCUGGGAGUGGAGAGGAGAUCGGGAGAUGGGGAAUUAGGU
This 2461-nucleotide long non-coding RNA is filed under the name Triticum aestivum (bread wheat). Its description in RNAcentral is "long non-coding RNA (TAES_LNC016682)". Lineage: Eukaryota; Viridiplantae; Streptophyta; Magnoliopsida; Poales; Poaceae. The record is from RNAcentral.